Long non-coding RNA from Thalassophryne amazonica, 133 nucleotides. RefSeq lists it as uncharacterized. Lineage: Eukaryota; Metazoa; Chordata; Actinopteri; Batrachoidiformes; Batrachoididae. The record is from RefSeq and is a predicted model, not a curated record. The transcript has 3 exons.
GGUGUAAUGUGAACGAAAGAACCAAUUAGGGAAUCAUUACACAAAAAGGCUAUUGAUGUCGGUGGAUCAAAUAAUUUAUCGAUUCUUAACAGGAACCGGUUUUCGAUACCUAUCCCUAACACACAGAGAUGGC